CCUACGGGGAGCUGCAGUGGGGAAUAUUGGACAAUGGGCGAAAGCCUGAUCCAUCCAUGCCGCGUGUGUGAAGAAGGCCUUCGGGUUGUAAAGCACUUUCAGUGGGGAAGAAAGCCUUGGGGCUAAUACCCUCGAGGAAGGACAUCACCCACAGAAGAAGCACCGGCUAACUCCGUGCCAGCAGCCGCGGUAAUACGGAGGGUGCGAGCGUUAAUCGGAAUUACUGGGCGUAAAGCGCGCGUAGGCGGUCUGAUAAGCCGGUUGUGAAAGCCCCGGGCUCAACCUGGGAACGGCAUCCGGAACUGGCAGGCUAGAGUGCAGGAGAGGAAGGUAGAAUUCCCGGUGUAGCGGUGAAAUGCGUAGAGAUCGGGAGGAAUACCAGUGGCGAAGGCGGCCUUCUGGACUGACACUGACGCUGAGGUGCGAAAGCGUGGGUAGCAAACAGGAUUAGAUACCCUUGUAGUC
RNAcentral lists this ribosomal RNA (465 nucleotides) under Vreelandella stevensii. RNAcentral describes it as "partial 16S ribosomal RNA". It matches the Rfam family "Bacterial small subunit ribosomal RNA", at positions 338 to 795 of the family's 1533-position model. The record is from RNAcentral. Lineage: Bacteria; Pseudomonadati; Pseudomonadota; Gammaproteobacteria; Oceanospirillales; Halomonadaceae.